This 228-nucleotide ribosomal RNA is filed under the name uncultured bacterium. Its description in RNAcentral is "partial 16S ribosomal RNA". It matches the Rfam family "Bacterial small subunit ribosomal RNA", at positions 568 to 795 of the family's 1533-position model. The record is from RNAcentral.
UGCGCAGGCGGAAUGAUAAGUCAGUGGUGAAAGCCUACGGCUCAACUGUAGAAAUGCCAUUGAUACUGUCGUUCUUGAGUACAUUUGAAGUGGGCGGAAUGUGUCAUGUAGCGGUGAAAUGCAUAGAUAUGACACAGAACACCGAUAGCGAAGGCAGCUCACUAAACUGUAACUGACGCUCAGGCACGAAAGCGUGGGGAGCAAACAGGAUUAGAUACCCUGGUAGUC